This is a long non-coding RNA of Pomacea canaliculata, 1190 nucleotides long. RefSeq lists it as uncharacterized. The record is from RefSeq and is a predicted model, not a curated record. Lineage: Eukaryota; Metazoa; Mollusca; Gastropoda; Architaenioglossa; Ampullariidae. The transcript is spliced from 5 exons.
CAGCUGUACAAGGGUACAUAGCUGUGUACAAACACCUCAGUGCACCAUGGGAAGAACUUUAGUCAGCAUUGUAAUAUUAUUUAUAAUGCUUAAAUACUGUGUCACACAGCUGUCCAUUGAAGACUGCGUACGGUGGGAACUGUCAGGUCUACAUCCAUCACAAAACAUGAUCUCAGUGGAGGACAACAGCUACAUCAACUUGACAUUCUACACCAGACAUGAUGCCUGCCUGGGGACAAACAACCCAACCUUCAUCAAGUUGUCCAUGCUUGGAAGAAAGUCUCCAGCUGGACUUGUGCAAAUGCUUUCUGGACAACCAGACCCUCCUGGGAACAACCCGAGACUGCCGCUGCUCCGACAGUCAGGUCUUCCAGGGAGCUUUCUGAUGAACAGCAAUGCUUUUGUACAGCAGAUGGCAACAUGAUCCAGUUGUCUGCGAAGUCCCCGACAUCAGACAUAGCUUUGUAUAUCUGGAAAUGGAUUUAUUCUGAUGGGUCGGAAAAGUCCAAAGCAAGCCUUUAUUGUGUCUGCUAAACCACAGGGCAGAGAGAAUGCAACCUGCUUGGAGACAACAAGAGAAGGGCUGUAUAUGAACAUCUUCAUUUUUGUCGGCCUCAUGAUUACACCUUUUGUUCUUGGCAUCAUGCUCGCAUCAGUCAUCAGAGCCAUUAUCCUGACAUGCAGAAAACGCUUUGCCUCUGAACAGUACUCAGGUUUGCGACAUCCAGGGAAAGACAAGGUCCUGAACCAAGGUGAAGAACACACUUAUCAGACUGUACUCUGAGAUCAAACCUCCUCCUUAGACAGGAGAUGCUGGACCUCAACGAGGCUACUGCAAUCCACCGGAAGAUGCUGCAAAUUACUUGAGGACCAUCAACACCUGACCUAUUUCUUAUGGCAAAGUUUGCACGACGGUCAACAAAAUAUUAAUAAAUCAACCUUCACAUUGACAUGCACGAUUUAAAAGCUUCAGCAUUUUAAUUUUUAGCCUACAGUUUGCUUCCAUAGUCUUUCACUUAACGGUUAGAGCUGGUUAUUACUAAACACACUCUUCAAUUUACAUUUUUGUAUAAUUUUGUUUUAAAUUUAUAUAAAUAUUCGACUGCGUUUAGGGUCUUUGUGCUUGUAGUAGAUGCCAGCGUGUUGUUACGUAAGGGGAGGUAACACAGUAGUUACAAUAAAAUUGGUUG